This 615-nucleotide ribosomal RNA is filed under the name uncultured bacterium. RNAcentral's name for it is "bacterial SSU rRNA". It matches the Rfam family "Bacterial small subunit ribosomal RNA", at positions 56 to 719 of the family's 1533-position model. The record is from RNAcentral.
UGCAGUCGACGAGAUCUUCGGAUCUAGUGGCAGACGGGUGAGUAACGCGUGGGAAUCUACCCAGUUCUCUGGAAUAACUGAUGGAAACGUCAGCUAAUACCGGAUACGCCCUUUUGGGGAAAGAUUUAUCGGGAUUGGAUGAGCCCGCGUAAGAUUAGCUAGUUGGUGGGGUAAUGGCCUACCAAGGCGACGAUCUUUAGCUGGUCUGAGAGGAUGAUCAGCCACACUGGGACUGAGACACGGCCCAGACUCCUACGGGAGGCAGCAGUGGGGAAUAUUGGACAAUGGGGGCAACCCUGAUCCAGCCAUGCCGCGUGAGUGAUGAAGGCCUUAGGGUUGUAAAGCUCUUUCACCGGUGAAGAUAAUGACGGUAACCGGAGAAGAAGCCCCGGCUAACUUCGUGCCAGCAGCCGCGGUAAUACGAAGGGGGCUAGCGUUGUUCGGAAUUACUGGGCGUAAAGCGCACGUAGGCGGAUAUUUAAGUCAGGGGUGAAAUCCCGGAGCUCAACUCCGGAACUGCCUUUGAUACUGGAUAUCUAGAGACCGAGAGAGGUAAGUGGAACUCCUAGUGUAGAGGUGGAAUUCGUAGAUAUUAGGAAGAACACCAGUGGCGAA